RNAcentral lists this ribosomal RNA (253 nucleotides) under uncultured bacterium. RNAcentral describes it as "partial 16S ribosomal RNA". It matches the Rfam family "Bacterial small subunit ribosomal RNA", at positions 524 to 776 of the family's 1533-position model. The record is from RNAcentral.
UACAUAGGCAGCAAGCGUUGUUCGGAGUUACUGGGCGUAAAGAGUAUGUAGGCGGUUGGGUAAGUUUGGUGUGAAAUCUCCCGGCUUAACUGGGAGGGUGCGCUAAAGACUGCCUGGCUCGAGUGUGGGAGAGGAAAGCGGAAUUCCUGGUGUAGCGGUGAAAUGCGUAGAUAUCAGGAGGAACACCUGCGGUGUAGACGGCUUUCUGGACCAUAACUGACGCUGAGAUACGAAAGCGUGGGUAGCAAACAGG